UACGAAGGGGGCGAGCGUUGUUCGGAUUUACUGGGCGUAAAGGGCGCGCAGGCGGUCCUGUUUGUCGAGUGUGAAAGCCCCGGGCUCAACCUGGGAAUUGCAUUCGAGACUGAAUAGCUAGGGUACGGUAGAGGGAAGUGGAAUUUCCGGUGUAGCGGUGAAAUGCGUAGAUAUCGGAAGGAACAUCAGUGGCGAAAGCGACUUCCUGGACCAGUACCGACGUUCAGGCACGAAAGCGUGGGGAGCAAACAGG
Molecule: ribosomal RNA, 253 nt
Filed under: uncultured bacterium
Lineage: Bacteria
Description: partial 16S ribosomal RNA
Rfam family: Bacterial small subunit ribosomal RNA
Source: RNAcentral